UUCUGGAAAAUGUAUUGGUCAAACUGGAGAUAUCCUCAGUACAAUGCCAUUCGGUUUCUCAUGACAGUAGUCAUUGGUGUCUUGUUUGGUCUACUUUUCUGGCAAACAGGAACUAAAAUGUAAGGCAUCUUCUUUUCUCUAUUCCAUAAGUAAACUAUCAUCUUAUCAAAAUGUGACGUAUUCAUCCAAAAACACCAAAACAGAGAGAAAGAGCAAGACCUGAAUAAUUUCUUUGGAGCCAUGUAUGCUGCUGUAUUGUUCCUCGGUGCCACCAACGCUGCAACAGUUCAACCCGCAGUUGCUAUUGAGCGAACGGUUUUCUACCGCGAAAAAGCCGCUGGAAUGUACUCCGCCAUUCCCUAUGCAAUUUCUCAGGUACUUAACCAUUCUAAUAAUUUUGCCUCAACUUUUAUAUGCUACUUUUCCUAAGAUAUGGUUAUCUAAAAAUGAUGCAGGUAGCAGUAGAAAUCAUGUACAACACUAUACAAACCGGAGUUUACACACUUAUCCUUUACUCGAUGAUCGGAUACGACUGGACUGUGGUCAAAUUCUUCUGGUUCUACUACUACAUGUUAACAUGCUUCGUCUACUUCACCCUAUACGGUAUGAUGCUUGUCGCCUUGACACCAAACUAUCAAAUAGCUGGAAUCUGCUUGUCCUUCUUCCUCAGUUUCUGGAAUCUUUUCUCCGGUUUCCUCAUCCCUAGACCGGUAAAUAAACUAAGCAACUUCCAUUUGAAUUAAUAAUAUAAAAAAAAAGUGUUUUAAGAGCUAGACUAAACUUUUAACUUUUGAUGCAGCAAAUACCAAUAUGGUGGAGAUGGUACUAUUGGGCAUCACCUGUGGCUUGGACAUUGUAUGGAAUCAUCACAUCUCAAGUAGGAGACAGGGAUUCGAUUGUGCACAUCACUGGUGUUGGAGAUAUGAGUCUUAAAACGUUGCUCAAAAAUGGAUUCGGGUUCGAUUAUGACUUCUUACCAGUUGUAGCCGUUGUCCACAUCGCCUGGAUCUUGAUCUUUCUCUUUGCCUUUGCUUAUGGUAUCAAGUUCCUCAACUUCCAAAGAAGGUGAAGAAAACUUUUAUUAGAAUAGAUUUCAAAAAUCUUUAUAGAUUAGUGUUUGAAUGAAUUCAUGUAAAUUUUCUUUGUCUUACCUAAUUAUUUAUUUAUUGUCGUUUGGUAAUAAUAAAUAAC
RNAcentral lists this long non-coding RNA (1191 nucleotides) under Arabidopsis thaliana (thale cress). Its description in RNAcentral is "long non-coding RNA (ATHA_LNC000016)". Lineage: Eukaryota; Viridiplantae; Streptophyta; Magnoliopsida; Brassicales; Brassicaceae. The record is from RNAcentral.